Molecule: ribosomal RNA, 545 nt
Filed under: Saccharopolyspora sp. 'CIBE E20'
Lineage: Bacteria; Bacillati; Actinomycetota; Actinomycetes; Pseudonocardiales; Pseudonocardiaceae
Description: bacterial SSU rRNA
Rfam family: Bacterial small subunit ribosomal RNA
Source: RNAcentral
GGUGACGGUAGGUGUAGAAGAAGCACCGGCUAACUANGUGCCAGCAGCCGCGGUAAUACGUAGGGUGCGAGCGUUGUCCGGAUUUAUUGGGCGUAAAGAGCUCGUAGGCGGUUUGUCGCGUCNAUCGUGAAAACUGGAGGCUUAACCUUCAGCUUGCGGUCGAUACGGGCAGACUUGAGUUCGGUANGGGAGACUGGAAUUCCUGGUGUAGCGGUGAAAUGCGCAGAUAUCAGGAGGAACACCGGUGGCGAAGGCGGGUCUCUGGGCCGAUACUGACGCUGAGGAGCGAAAGCGUGGGGAGCGAACAGGAUUAGAUACCCUGGUAGUCCACGCCGUAAACGUUGGGCGCUAGGUGUGGGGACUGUUUCCACGGUCCCUGUGCCGUAGCUAACGCAUUAAGCGCCCCGCCUGGGGAGUACGGCCGCAAGGCUAAAACUCAAAGGAAUUGACGGGGGCCCGCACAAGCGGCGGAGCAUGUGGAUUAAUUCGAUGCAACGCGAAGAACCUUACCUGGGUUUGACAUGCACCAGACUGCCNUAGAGAUA